GCCAUGCCGCGUGCAGGAUGAAUGCCCUAUGGGUUGUAAACUGCUUUUAUACAGGAAGAAACCUUUGUACGUGUACAAAGCUGACGGUACUGUAAGAAUAAGGAUCGGCUAACUCCGUGCCAGCAGCCGCGGUAAUACGGAGGAUCCAAGCGUUAUCCGGAAUUAUUGGGUUUAAAGGGUCCGUAGGUGGUUUAUUAAGUCAGAGGUGAAAUACUGCAGCUUAACUGUAGAACUGCCUUUGAAACUGAUAGACUUGAGUUAUUGUGAAGUAGUUAGAAUGUGUAGUGUAGCGGUGAAAUGCAUAGAUAUUACACAGAAUACCGAUUGCGAAGGCAGAUUACUAACAAUAUACUGACACUGAGGGACGAAAGCGUGGGUAGCGAACAGGAUUAGAUACCCUGGUAGUCCACGCCGUAAACGAUGGUCACUAGCUGUUUGAUGCACAUUGGUGUGUUGAGUGGCUAAGCGAAAGUGAUAAGUGACCCACCUGGGGAGUACGCUCGCAAGAGUGAAACUCAAAGGAAUUGACGGGGGCCCGCACAAGCGGUGGAGCAUGUGGUUUAAUUCGAUGAUACGCGAGGAACCUUACCAGGGCUUAAAUGUAAGUUGCAUAGGUCAGAAAUGAUCUUUUCUUCGGACCACUUACAAGGUGCUGCAUGGUUGUCGUCAGCUCGUGCCGUGAGGUGUCAGGUUAAGUCCUAUAACGAGCGCAACCCCUAUCGUUAGUUGCCAGCGGGUCAUGCCGGGAACUCUAAUGAGACUGCCGGUGCAAACCGAGAGGAAGGUGGGGAUGACGUCAAAUCAUCACGGCCCUUACGUCCUGGGCCACACACGUGCUACAAUGGCCGGUACAGAGAGCAGCCACUACGCGAGUAGGAGCGAAUCUUCAAAACCGGUCUCAGUUCGGAUCGCAGUCUGCAACUCGACUGCGUGAAGCUGGAAUCGCUAGUAAUCGGAUAUCAGCCAUGAUCCGGUGAAUACGUUCCCGGGCCUUGUACACACCGCCCGUCAAGCCAUGGAAGCUGGGAGUACCUGAAGUCGGUGACCGCAAGGAGCUGCCUAGGGUAAAACUAGUAACUGGGGCUAAGUCGUAACAAGGUAGCCGUACCGGAAGGUGCGGCUGGAACACCUCCUUUCU
RNAcentral lists this ribosomal RNA (1138 nucleotides) under uncultured Flavobacteriaceae bacterium. RNAcentral's name for it is "bacterial SSU rRNA". It matches the Rfam family "Bacterial small subunit ribosomal RNA", at positions 391 to 1533 of the family's 1533-position model. The record is from RNAcentral. Lineage: Bacteria; Pseudomonadati; Bacteroidota; Flavobacteriia; Flavobacteriales; Flavobacteriaceae.